This 196-nucleotide unclassified non-coding RNA is filed under the name rhizosphere metagenome. RNAcentral describes it as "partial ribosomal RNA internal transcribed spacer region". The record is from RNAcentral.
GUAGGUGAACCUGCGGAAGGAUCAUUAAUAGUUUAGGGUACUGACCCAGUGCCCAAACUUCAACCCUUUGACUUAAUUAAUUUGUUUCUUUGCCGGUUUCGGCUGGCAGAAGUUUUCUCAAACUCAUUAGAAACUUGUCUUCUGAAAUUUUAAAUAAUAAUAAUUAAAACUUUCAACAACGGAUCUCUUGGUUCUG